This 466-nucleotide small RNA is filed under the name Vigna angularis var. angularis. RNAcentral's name for it is "Non-protein coding transcript". Lineage: Eukaryota; Viridiplantae; Streptophyta; Magnoliopsida; Fabales; Fabaceae. The record is from RNAcentral.
AUAUGGUCUUUCAUUUUCAUUGUGAUUCCUCGUUUCAUGAGAUUCAAUAAAUAGUUCUCUCCGGACACAAAGCUGCAAUUCGAAUCAAUGGCGAAGCUGGAAGAAAUGGACAAUUCCGUGGCCAAAAUCAAGAAGAAUAGGAAUCAUGGGUCCACCAGAUUCUUCGUCUUUGUAGAUUACAUUUUCCUCCUCAUUUUCCUGGGUUUCCUAUCCUUCAUCAUCUUCAAAAUUGUGAACAUUUGAUUCCUUCAAAACCACACAAAACCAGCAUUUUUUUUAUAUUUUAUUUCGAAUGAACCAGGUCUAAUUCCAUACCUGGAGGGUUUAGGCAUGUGCAGUUCUGAUCUGAUCCUAGCAUGUCAUACUUGGAUAAGGAGAUUCUACAACACCCUUAAUACCUUAUUAGUAUACUCAUAUUUUCAGGUGAUUGGCAUAAAAUAUGAUCAAAUUAGUUACACAGUUGCAG